UUACCACUGGUCGCUGAGUCUGAUCUAGGGUCAGUUUGCGAGUUUGCACGCACACUUUAGUGUUAUCUGCAGCGAUUUUAGGUAUCUGAUCCCAGAUAAGAAAGAAAAUUUAAGGACUUCAGAGGAUAGUGUACUUGUACGCAGUAAAGUGACAGUAGUAAAGGAGAAAGAGAAGGUCGUUCUAGGUCGUAGUAUUUUUAUUACUAAUGAGAAAUAUCAUUUUAAAUGGACAAAUUUAACUCACGCAUACAUUUUUUUCUUUGUCGUGUGAUAUAUCUUAUCUGUAAAUAGUUUUCAUUCGUUCUCUGAUAACUUUUUAAAUAACAUAUUUCACCUGCUCAUUUCAGAUGUCUGGAGUGGAAAAAAAACGAGAUGUGUUGUUGUAAAUAUCACUCUCACAAAACCUGUCAAGAACAUGUCUAGGUCAUAUUUCAUCUUAAAGAUUAAAGAUAAAAGAAGCCUAAAAGUGCUCAGCUUAAAAUGAGCAUGAGAUUAAAAUAACAGAGAGAAAGAGAAAAAGGAGAAAAGCACUUCAUCAUCGUUUUAGCCAGGACACCCUCAGGGCAGCUUGUUCAAACGGUGAGUGUGGAAAUGUAGUUUUGCUGCACUGCCAGUUCUCCUCUGCUGGCUCUUUUAAUCAGAUUGCCUUCCUGACAUCCGGCCGUGUUUGUUUCCCUCCAAUUUCAUUUUCUGCUUUGAAUUGCACAUUAACCUUUCCUCAGAGUUCCUGUUAAGCAAACGGUGACUGUUCUCUAUUGCAAUCACGAUUAUGAGAGGUGGAUGACACUCUCGUCAGGUACAUUUCAUCCAGUUUAACUGCAUCUUCAGCUCCAGUCCAUUCAAGUCAAUGUGUUCUCUGCGCCACUGAUGUGUUUUGUACCAACUAUAUCUACUGCAACAAGACGUGCACUUUAAGAGGUGCGAUUGAAAACACAAACCACAAAUCCAUUCAUGUCCAGGGUGUGUGUUUAAUGUCAUUUGGUUGUUUUUGUCUCCCCGAACAGAGCGAGAACAUGAUGCUGGCAGACACGAGCGGCGUUUUUGGCAGACGUUCCCUGAUGACAGCUGGUCAACAGCAUCUUCUUGAAACCUGAUUGAGUUUCCCUUUUAUUUAAACACCCGUUAUGAUUCCAAUCAGAUCCAUUCGUAGAGAUGCAGAGUAGAAUGAAUCUAAAAAAUUACAUUUUUAUUCUAAAAUAUGGACACAGUAUAAUGCAGAUGAUUUUUUUUUUUUUGUAAAAAAAACUUUCUAAACAUUUGCUUUGCUGACUUCAAACAAGACAUGAGACACAUGAAUAAAAAUAUGACAUCUGGUAUGAAAACGCCA
Long non-coding RNA from Ctenopharyngodon idella (grass carp), 1327 nucleotides. RefSeq lists it as uncharacterized. The record is from RefSeq and is a predicted model, not a curated record. The transcript is spliced from 2 exons. Lineage: Eukaryota; Metazoa; Chordata; Actinopteri; Cypriniformes; Xenocyprididae.